Long non-coding RNA from Grus americana (Whooping crane), 11170 nucleotides. RefSeq lists it as uncharacterized. NCBI's taxonomy places the organism in Eukaryota, Metazoa, Chordata, Aves, Gruiformes, Gruidae. The transcript is spliced from 5 exons. The record is from RefSeq and is a predicted model, not a curated record.
CUGCAUGCGAGUCAUGAAAAAGGACAUGUCAUGUAUUUCCUUAUUGUUGUUAUAAUUUAUACAUUGAUUGUUUAUGAACAUUUUCUUGGCUUUUGUUUGUAUUUUCAUCUAUUCAGAAAUAUUUAGGACUUCAUAGUGUGUGAUGGUAAACAUAGAACAGACAUAUAUAUAACUUUGAAUGCUUUGGUUUACAUGAAAGCUGAAUUUAUUAAAGGACCCAUCUCAAGCUAUACCUGUCUAACAAAGCUUUGGUAAGUGUGUUUAUUUAUAUACAUAAAUUAUAAAAAUGGUGUUACUUUAAAUAUCAGUAUUUCUUUAUUAAAACUCUUUAAACUGUGUGUUCAUUUUUACAGCUUUUUCUUAAUGAAUGGAACUGGGAAAUGUUUUGUUAUGUUUUUAGCAAAGCGAGCACAUAAAGUAUGUUCCAAAAUUUUUAACAAAACUUACUAAAUGCUUCAUUUCUUAUAUCACUGUGUCUAUAGACAGGUAACAUUUUUAUGGUUAGAAGUUUAAACUGUGUAUCUGAGAAUUUACUAAUUUUUUUUCCUCAUCUUCUGCUAAGAUAUUUCUCUUGCAGGGGAAUCUUUCAUUGAGAUGAUUGAAAUCGCUGCAGUGAGAAUGGAAAUUACUCAGGCUCCUUUCCUUUUAAAAGCUGCAUGCAAGAACUGUGUGAGGAAGAGGUGAGAAAUGUGCAUCUUGUAAAGACCAGUCUGCAAUCAACUUUUCGUGUUAGCAGCUCAAGCUGAGAAACCAAGAGUUUCCAUGUUGUUGAUUCAUGGUCUGUUCAUGCAGUCUUGUGAACUUCAAAAUAUUCUGAUUUGUGUCCUGUCUUGUCAGUGAUGCAUUGUGGAUAUAUAACUAUUAUAAUUAAACACUUGUUUGUCCCAUUUUUGGAAUGUGGUUUCAUGAGUAACACCUUCAAUAGUCUGCAAAAUCUUUUAUACACUAAAAGUAAUGAUCAUGUUUGAACUUUAGCACAUUUUACAAUAAAUUUACCUAUAAAGAUCUAUGCAGAAAGAAUGAACUAGUUAAAUUGUAACAAUUAAUUUCUUAUGUCCAUUGGCAAACAGCACAUCUUUAAAAAUGUAACGUGACUUACACCUGUGUAUUUAGGACUUCUACAGGCCAUUGUUCUUCAAAUUUCAAAAGCGUUUUUCUUGGUGCUGCAUAUGGCACACUUUACUGAGUGAGAGUGGGUCUGUACUUGAUAUUCAGAUAUAGUGAUCUGAAAAUGUUUCAGCUUUUCUCUUAAUCGUGGUAUCUCAUUAAGUAUUGGGGGAAAUCUCUCCUAAUUAGGUAGCAAUAUGAGCAAUAAUGAUUGGAAUUUGAAAUGUUUAGACUCUCUUUAUGUUCUUCAUCACCACAUCCUGUCAUAGAAGUCACAAGAAAUGAUUGAUAGAAAUAUAUCCAAAGUGGUGAUCUACUAUUUUACCACAAUUUAACUUGAAGCAGAGCAGCAAUUCUUCAUAUCAAAAUCAACAAACAGAAGUUUUAAAUGUAUGUGAAGGAAAACUUAUGUCUGACAUAUAUGUGAAUCUCCUUUCUAAGGUGGCAGUUGUGUGUAUCAGAAGAAAAUAUUUAACUAUAAACAGAAAUAUGAAAAAAUUAUGGCAAAAAUGCAAUGGCAUGAGUGACACUGUUCAUCUUUCUGUUAGGGGGCUAAUAACACGGGGCUAUUAAUUUUUCCACUUUAAACAGUUUAUUUCUGUUGGAAGUUAUGUAAUGGCUCUCAGGUGCAACAACUCAAUACUUCUUUCCAAAUUUGAUUCAGUUAUAAUAGCUCUGUGUUAAUGCAUCAAAUGAAUUUUAUCUAAUAUUGCUUCUGUCUUAAUGUAAAAUUUGAACCCUGUGUUCAAAAGUUCUGAAAUUAACUAAUUCAUGAUAGCAGCAUUUAUCCAGUUUGAAUUUUCAAUCUCAAGUAUACAGUCCUCAGUAGCUAGAGGCUGGCUGACUUAGCUUCUGUUGAGAGAUGGGAAUAAUAUAUAUCCAUAAUGUUUUCUUCUGCUGUUUAUAGUCAUAGGAAACAGCUGUAGAUAGAAAGCUUCACAUUUCCCUAUGGGUUUUUGCUGGGCAAGCAUGUGGCUUUAUUACCUAUAAAGGAACCUUCUGUCAGCAGCUUUUACACUUUUAAGUGGAUUUAAAAGUAAAACAUUUUUGAAUCUCUCAUAAAACACUCCAAAAAAACUUAAUAAUUAUAAAAUUUGAACUAUAUAAGGCAUAAAUUAUAGAAUAUAAAGUAUCAAAUGUAUACAUUGUUAGUAUUUUAUUGAAAUAAAGGAAAAGCUUCAGGGAUUAUAUGAUUUGGACCAGCUAGAAUAGUCCACAAUAAUAUAUGACUGUGGUUCUACAGUCCUGUGAUUCUCAAUCCAGACAAGUCUGAGACUGGCAGAGUCUUCCUGUUUCCUUCAGUAUUAGCCUGGCUCUGAUAUUUCCAUGGUGGUUUCACUGAAUGACUUUGGGAUAGUUUUUGGUAAGCUCCCACAGCUGGAUGUCCUUGCUGUGUGAGCAGCAGCAAGGAAAAGUUCCCUCCACUCUUGAGGAUGGCAGUCUGGUAUUAAAGUUCAUUUCUGUUGCUUAAACAAAUGUAAGGAAUAUUCAGGGCAUUCUUUCUUUCUUGAUAGUCCUACAGACAGACUUUGCCUAGCUGCUCUUUAAAUCAGUAUCAAAGGGGAUAACAUCUUUGUCUACCUCAUCUACAGAAGAUUGGUAUCUACAUACGAAACUAACACAAACAUGCUUGUAUAGAUACAGGUUCUUAGCAUAUGGAAACAGCUGUGCCACACCUUUCCUGUCAUCAAGACAAUGUGAGUCUCCCACUUUUCCAAUAAGCAAUAUCUGUUAUUUUCAGUGAUAUCAAUAAAUAUGUAAACUAUAUUAUCCAUCUAUGUGUAAUGGAAUGUCAGACAUAAAAAUAAGAAAUUUCUAGUAGUAUCAGACAAAGAUGAACAAGAACUUUAGUGUUUUGGAGGUAUGAAAUCUGUUAAAUGACCUCUGUGACAACCAGUUUUAGGAAGGGUGUGUGGAUGGUAGAUUAUACAGUCAGAAAAAGGAGAUUUUGCUGCAGAUUUGAUAACAUCGUGUAGCCAGACAGCCCCCUGUUGGUUGUAUUGUUGUGGAGGUUCCAGAAAUUUAUUGUGCUUGAAUUCAGCAAUUCAUUGCACUCAACAAGCUAUUUUUUUUAUUCCCAUAUGACAAAGAGAAAAUGGGGGGGAGGGGGGAAUUGUGUGCAUCUGUAAAAAUUACCUUUGAGUCAAGUUUUAUCCUUCUUGUGUAUAAGAUACAUGUCAAAGCUUGAUUAAAUAGAGUAUCUGCACUCAGUUUCUUAAUGUCUUUAUAGAAGCUUAUUUUUAAAGAGCAGUGAAAAUGUAGAACAGUACUUUGUCCUUGUGAUCAAAAUUUAAGACUAGCAUACUUUAAUGUCACAUUUACAGCCUGGCUAAUGCAAAGUAUUUAGAUAAACUUCUGCCAAUAAUGCAGGUAAUAGAUUUUAAAACAUAAAAGUUUGUAAGCUAACAGUGAACUAGCCAGACAUAGGCUCCAGCCUUAUUUAAUGACUGGGACUCUCCUGCAGGAGUGUCUGAGAGCUGCUGUUAUUUAACAAGGUACGGUUUCACCAGGAGGCUUGGGAGUUUUUUUAUUCAUGUUUGCUUUGCUUUAAUCUCUUCUUUUGUAUGUGGCUUAAGCUGCUACCAGUGCAACUAGCUGCUUACUUCCAGUUUGUGUUUUCCCAUGUGUAAAGACACCAAAAACCUCGUUCUUAAAAAGAAAUGGGUGUCUAAAAUACUGGAAAACUGAAGGAUGCAUAUUAGGUACUUUGACUUUUUUUUAAGUGUUUGUAAAGGGAACCUAAAAUCUGCCUCGUACUGGUCACUCUAUAUCCAUGUGGUGACGGAGUGCUGUAGGUACUGUAUUAAAGUAUGCAAGCACUUAUUUUCUAGAACCUGAUGAUGUAUCCAUGCUUAAAAGGCACUAUUUGUGGUGGAAGUAGCUGACCCAAGGAAAGUUUCCAGGAAGAACUCUUAUCUCAGAAGCACAGGAUCUUCUGCUCUGAGAUAAACAAUACAGAGGUGAUCGCUUUCUGCAUCAAGUAUGGCCUAGGUUAUAAAAGCUCAUCUUCAUUUGAAGAAUUUGAUUUGUGGCUAAAAAUCCAUAGCUGUAACAGUAGUAGGGGAAACUGAUGUGAGAAUUAGUUUUCUACUACAACACAGAACAGAAGACUAGCAUGAUGUUUAGAAAGCCAAAGUGCUAAGACCUCCUUCUCUUUCUCAUUUUCCCCUUUGGUACACGUUAAAAGAUCGAUUGUAAUCAGGUGUCUUAUAACAGUUGGCAAAAACAACAGAGGGUAAGAAUAUAUGCUGUGAUUGAGGGGGAAUGGGAAGGACAGGGGCAGACCAAAUUGCUGCUUAAAAAUUGUGACCUACUAAAUGACUACUAAAAUCCAUCAGAAGAGUUUGAGACUGGCUGAAGCAAUCAGAUGAGGGGACUCUCCCAAGAAACAGAAAACCUGAAUUUCAGGUCCUUCAGAAGUCCAAGGGGAUUCAAGGUCACAUCUCCUGUUUCCAAAAAAAGUGCCCAGGGGAAGCUGCCAACAGAUGCUCCCCAUAUUUCUUGUUAAAUCAAGGCUAUGUGCAAAAAAGAAUAGAAGUCACAAAACAGUUUUGUCCAAAGAUUGUUGGCAGUGAUAACUAUUACCGUUAGCAGAUGAAAGCAAGCUGCAGGUAGGAUUUCAAAGGGUAGUGGAAUUUGCUUUUAUUGGACUCACUGUGCAGUUCCUUGCAAGUUCCAUAUUCUUUUCCUAAGAUGUUUCCUGAAGUAACAGUAAAAUGAGCAUACAAUAAAUAUAAGUAUCCAUUAAAGCUCACUAAAGGAAUACCUUAUGUUUCCAGUAGAUGAACACUGAGAUAACUGAAUAUUUGUGAAUUGCAUCACAGACCUCUAUUAUGCCUGGGGUUUAUUGCUAAAGAGAGCACCAAUAAAGGGUGGCUUUAAACUGCUUUAUGCUCCUACAUCCUCUAAAGCUGCUGAAGAAGGAAAGCAGGGAGCAACUAGCAGCGUUAAAGAAAUUCAUGACUGUUCAACAACCAGCAAGGGGAUUCACAUCUUCCCGCCUUUACUGUCAAUUAUUUUCUUUUUUUUUUUAUGUUUGAAGAGGCUUUUUCCCUUGUCUUGAGUUGGCAUGUUUGUUUUUUGACAGGAAGGUUUACAAUCUCCCUCCCAAGUUAGCAUAGAUAAGAGCCUGUUCCGGAUGGAAGAUUCAAAUACUUACCCUCAUCAGAAAAAUUACAUUUUUCCUCCUCUGAAGAAAGGCACUGCGUGCAGCCAUUGGUACCCAUGCAUCUGAUAUUCUUGUAUGGGAGAACGUGCAGCAGCAUCUGUGGAAGCAAUAACUGUGUCUUUGUGCGCAAGCAGCGUCAAUCCUGCCAUCCUUUUGUUCUACCCAGUGGCUACCAACAGAGCUUUUCAUUAGCCAAUGAUAUACCAGCCUGAAGAAGCAGUGUGGUCUUUGUAGGAAGAGUCAUUGCUUCCAGUAGAAGAUCUGCAUGCUUGUCACCACUUGUUUCAGAAGAACAGAAAUCUGCAUCUUCAUAUCCUGAACGCUCCAGAUGUGAACUCUUACGAACUGUCAUUAGAUCCUCCACUUGUGGCUCUUUCUUGGUGCUGAGGCUAGACAAGAAGUCAGUAUAGAUCCCUCCACAGAAUAUGGAUGAUCAAACCCAUAGCAGACUCACGUUCCAUCAGCCUUGUACAACUUCAUGUGAUGUUCAGCUUUUCUAUUCAAUCCUAAAGCCUACCUCAGAAGUCCAGCGAGAGCAUGUGUCAGGCUUUCAAUAUCGAAGUGGAAGAGACUGCCACAGCACAGCUUAUAGGGGAAGCUAUAGCCAAUGGACACACAAGUGUCCCUGUGCCUGUUAGUGCUUUUCCAGCCAAGGUUCUACAGAGUAUCUCUGAAACGAAAGAUGAGUCUAGCAAAAAGAUGAUCUGCCCAUCAUUUUCCACAUGUAUCCCUAGAGAUUUUGGGACUGCAUAUGAACUCUGGAUUGCACUAUCACACUUCAGUUAUCAAAGAUAACUGUUACUGAGUAACAGCAGAAAACAUCGUUAGCCUAACCAAAGAUGGGAGAAGCAUCUCAGCUACAUCAGGAGCCAUGCAGUUACAAUUUUCAUUUACAAUCUUGACAUGGCCAUUUUAAUCAUUUAAACCAUUAACAUCCUCCAGGGAUCCACAGUUUACUGAGCCAUCUUCAGAAGAUAAUGUUUUGAACAGUCAUAGGUAGCAAAGGAAAAUUAUAUGGCAUAAGAAUCGCCUUUCGAAAUGGGGAAAACAUAACAUAAAUCAGUCUGGUCCAGAAGAAGAUACAUUUCCAGUUUAUGGAAAAUCAGGAACUUACUAAUAGUGUUAAUGCUCACCAUGUUGCAACUGGAAUUGAAAGAAAGGCCACCAGCAGGAUGUAUCCAGUAAUGAUUCAGGAGGCUUCUAACCCUGGCACUGCCAGAGCAGUGCUGAUAUUCUCAUCUUCAGAGUUUGUCUAUUUUGCCACCAAAAGCUUAGCUUCUGUUUCCAGAUGUGACGUAGCAACAUGAUUAACGCAUCUUAUGUCUGGAUCCUGCAACGUUUCACUUCAUAGUGCAGGUGCAGAAAUGACCUCCAAGAGAGAAAUUCUGUUCUUUGGGCAUGCAAAAUAUUCAUGUAAGGUGUUCUGCAGAUCUCCUUGCCUAACACAUUAGAAAAAAAUAAAAUGUUCCUAUAGCCUGAUGAAUGUCUAAGUCUCCCAUCUAAGCCAUUCUGUGCCUUUUCCCCAUUCCUUGAGCUGCUAUUGCCCACCCGUUCAUUCACCCCUAUACGAUCUUCUGCUUUUCCUUGUCUGGUGGUGUUGAAAUUUCUGACAGCUCUGUUAACUGUCCUCCCUUCAAUACAAUAAGUUGUGUCUCUGGUUCCACAAAGGCAGCAACUCUUUCCAGCUAAAUUUUCUCCCUUAACUCCCUCUCUGUAAUGGGAAAGAAGUGAGUUUGCCGCCUUGUGUGGAUCUCUGCCUGCCCUUAACAUGUAACCUUUUCCUCUGUUCCACCAGUGACCAGGCUGAGGAGCAAGCUGAAGACAUAGUAAAAAGAUGCAAAGAUUAAAGGAUAGAAGGAUCAGCAUGCCUUCUGUUUAUUGUUGAAUACAACAUUGUAAAUAAAAUGGUGUGUCAGCAAUUAUUUUAUUACUCAGUUUAGUUAUCACUGGGGAACAAAACCAAAACCCAUAGACCAGUCUUUUCAGAAGGCCCUCAAUAAAAGCUACAAACUGCCUUUGAAACUCAAAGAAAAUUGAGUUCCUGACUCCAAAGUACUAGUAAAACCUAGACUUGAUGUUUCCAAUCUAUUGCCUUUUUUUUUUUCCAAUGGAGAAUCAGGAUGGAACAAUGUUGUAACGUUUUAAUUCUUCACAGUUUCAGCAAGCACUCUGCUAGCUGGUGUAGCAGAAACUUGCUUAGAAAGCAAAGCCCUGAAUUCAUUCUCUACAGCAGAUUUGUACACAUUACUGUUUCCAACCUUCAGGGCUACAUUCAUCAUGCUUCUGACCAGAAAGAAGCCACCAAUUAUUGAACCAUUGCAUUAGAAUGGAAACAGAGCAGGACUGGAGGAAGAAUUCUUGGAAAAAUUUACACAUCAGAUUGCACUUAGAGAUAAAACUUCCAGGGUUUAUUUCAGCAGAAACUACAUGAUGGUCUAGAAAAACAACAUUCCCCCUUUUUUUAAAUAGAACUCAGAUUUAUUUGUAUUUUAUGCGAUGACUAGUAUUUACAUCUCACCCACCCAUUUGAGAAUAUUCAGGGCUCCAGGCGUAUCUCCAGCCAGUUCCAGACUAUUCAAAUCCUUGUUGGUCCAUCCAUUUACUAGUCACAACAAGGCCUUCUGUGACUAAUUAUGGCCUGACUGCAGCAGGAGAGGCAGCUUCAAAGAAUGGGAAUCUUCAGACCCACUAGCAGUUCCCUUGGUUCCCAAAUUCUUUAUUUAUGUGGAUUACAUUGAGUUGACAGAUUUAACUGGGCUGUUGAAGAUACGGUCAAAGAAGCAGAGUCACUCCCUUCCCUUUUAUUGUUUUCUGAAGACAUAAGAGUCAUACGCAUCUGUCACUACAGAGAGGAAGUUCCCCAUCACUGGACUUGAUUUGGGCUUUUAUAUGCUGUUUCAGUAGCAUCUGGGAAUAGAUCAAUAUAAUAUUUGGUAGGGAGUUCUAUUUCCUUGUGAUGCACUGUAAAUCUUUUAUUGUAGAUACUCCCACUGUUUAUUGUUGAAAAUCAAUAAAAAUAAACCUUGUAAAGUUAAAGCCUGGCGAUGGUUCAACACAAAUCAGAGGGAAGGAGUAAGAGGCAAAGAGUCUCCCUCCCCCUCUUGGAUAGCUCCCAGCUUGUUUCCCAAUGAAUAUUCAAUAACACUUUCCAGCAAUCUGGGAACAAAUUUAAAAACAAAAUAAAUAAAUUCCAAGUUAUGAACGCUUUGUUGUGAUCUCAAACAGAACUUCUGACCCACUUUGGCGGCUUUCUGGUGCUGAAUUCAGCUGUGUGUCACCCAGGUUUUGUGCUGGAUAUACCUUAGACUUGUCCCCUCCAGAGACACAUCAGCCUUGUUCAGCUCAGAUUAAAGGAGUUAUUUUUAAGAAUUGGAAAACUGGAAAUGAACCAAAAUAGGUAAAAAGUGGGAACAGCCCAAUGUGGAGAAAAGUUUCUCCAAAGUCAGAACAAAAGUUACUAUCCCUGUUUACAAGCCUGUAGAAGCAGGGCAGGAUGCAAUUACUCCAGCAUCAUUCUUUCACCCUGUGGCUAUUAAUUCCUCAUAUACAGCAUCUUAGGAUGGAGUCUUCUACUAUUUCCAUGAGAUCCAAUUAUGCAGGGAAGUGAAAAAUUGUUAGGAAUUAUUUAGUAAAGGGGAAAACUUCCCAGUACUACGGCCAGCACUGACAGAUCAGUCUUUUUUGGUCUAAACAUAGUAUCAAUUGCAAUAGCUUUAUUUAAACACCUGUUCUGGAUCAAUUAUACAAUCUUGUGAGCACUGACUGCAGAACCUGUAAGAACGCAAUGACUGUACUUCCUAAAAGAACAAAAACCCUCAUGAAUUGUCAUAUUGAAAUCAAUACCCCAAGAACAUGAAGGUGUUUCACAUCAGACUCUCUUCUUCCUCGUAUCAGCAGGUUACUGAACAAUUCACCUGUUAAAUAAAUGACAUGUCCCCAGAAGAGAUAAGGAUGUAAGAGAACUUCCCAGUGUGUGAAGAAGCAGACAAAAAAUUACUUAAAAGCACAAAAAUGUAAUCAAUCACUACGAAAGGAAGUCAACACAGUGCAAGAACAGGGGAAUGGAAAAAGGGGUGUCUCUAUCCUGUUGGCAUAUCCAACAAGCACCACAAGCCUGUAUUGAUAAAGCCCUUCAUAGUCUUGAAUAUAGCAAUACAGGAUGAAAUCCAACUAUAAAGGAGGGAAAAGUGACUAAAAUAAGAAAGAACAGCACUGAAGAGCAGCUUAAUGCCUUUGGAGUGGGAGGAGAGGACAGAGGAGUAUUCUGCAAGAGACAGUAACACGUUAUUUCAUGGUCACUACUGGUGGCUUCACAAAGCCGCUUUCUCACGUCUGGAGCCACACAGCAAUACAACCUGGGAUGUUUCUGUUACGUUGCUUUCAGCUAAUGGCAGGAGAAUCAGUCUACGCGUAUCUUUUGAAAGUAGAGGCAGUAUUUGAUCAUUGAGGUUUGCACUCCUCCUCCAGCCACUUCUCCAAACUGUUGGGAUGACAGUUGUGUCAAGCUGUAUUGUCAUGUACUUAAAAUCUCCUUACAGAUUAGCACAGAACAUAAAAAUUAUUUGGUAGGAGGAACGGCUGAUCUUUUUGCGAGUCCUAAUUUUAGCCACAGAGAAAAACAAACCCCUUGAAAACGCUGGAAUCUGGUCCACAAAACCCGUAUUGAAUCUGUGGCUCUUUUAUUUAGAGUUGAAGAGGGUGGAGCAGUAAAAGGCAGGAAAGCAAUUUUUUUCCCGAAUACUUGGGAGAAAAAAAAGAAAUUGUUUGUUUGUUACUUCCCUCAAUAGUUGCAGUUUCAAACAACCCAACAAAAAAGGCCACUAGUGCUGACACAGCCCUCUUCCACCUUCAAAAAAUGAAAGGAAAAGCCUUUAUUUCCCUUUCUGCACUUGGUUUCUCUUUGCCUGUGCUGCCCCGGAGCUCCCUGGGGUUUGGUUCACCAUGACGGUAAGGCUUGCUGGCCUCUUCAUCCUUUCAAAACCGUAGCAUUCGACUUUUUCUUCACUGGAGACUGUCCUGGUGCUUAUGAGGCGAAAUCCAUCUUUGAGUAAAGUGUCAAGCAGCAGGCCUAGCACAUUAGUACCGUUAAUCAGCUUUCUAUUAUCGGGCUUUAUGGAAACAUACCUAAAAUAAGAAAAAGGCAAUUACAACACACUUUAAUUACUUAUUGAAGGAUGGAAACAAUUUUUUUUAAAAACAAACCAGGUCCUCGGACGGUGCCAGUCAGCAGAAUUGCAAGGGUUUACAGAAAGCAAGGUUCUGGAUUUUUUUUUAUCCUUUGAGGACAAUUUAACUCUUUCCCUUGUUGUAAGAACAGUAGUUCUCAGUUCAUCCAGGUACAUGUUGGGGAAGAAGCAUUUCUUUCACCCCCACACCAAAACUUACUUUCUUAAGAAAUGCUGUGAUAACCUACAUCUCAUUUCAUUUCAUGGAGCAGAGGUGAAUGGCACACUCUAUUGUCCUGGUUUCAGGUGGGACAGUUAAUUUUCUUUCUAGUAGCCAGUAUAGUGCUGUGGUUUGGAUUUAGGAUGAGAAUAAUGUUGAUAACACACUGGUGUUUUAGUUGUUGCUGGGUAGUUGUAGUGUCUACACCCAGUCAAGGACUUUCCAACUCCCCAGGCCCUGCCAGGUGCACAGGGAGCUGGGAGAGCACAGCCAGGACAGCUGACCCAGCCUGGCCAAAGGGACAUUCCCCACCACAGAGCAUCAUGCUCCGGAUAGAACUGGGGAAGCGAGCCGGGGUUGCUGCUUGGAAACAGAUGGCAUCAGGGGUUUUUAUUUUCCUUUCACAUGCAGUGAGCAGUUGCAUUUGUGCAUCACUUAUAUUAUUGUUAUUAUUGUUGUAUUAUUAUCAUCAUCUUCCUUUGUUAUCCUAUUAAACUGUCUUUAUCUCAA